GAUGAACGCUAGCUACAGGCUUAACACAUGCAAGUCGAGGGGCAGCGGUAUCGAAAGCUUGCUUUCGGUAGCCGGCGACCGGCGCACGGGUUAGUAACGCGUAUCGAACCUGCCUCAUACUCGGGAAUAGCCUUGCGAAAGUAAGAUUAAUGCCCGGUGUUUUCAGAGUCCCGCAUGAGGCUUUGAACAAAGAUUUAUCGGUAUGAGAUGGCGAUGCGUCCCAUUAGCUUGUUGGCGGGGUAACGGCCCACCAAGGCAUCGAUGGGUAGGGGUUCUGAGAGGAAGGUCCCCCACAUUGGAACUGAGACACGGUCCAAACUCCUACGGGAGGCAGCAGUGAGGAAUAUUGGUCAAUGGGCGGAAGCCUGAACCAGCCAAGUAGCGUGCAGGAAGACGGCCCUCCGGGUUGUAAACUGCUUUUAGUUGGGAAUAAAACGGGGCUCGUGAGCCCCCUUGCAUGUACCAUCAGAAAAAGGACCGGCUAAUUCCGUG
This 492-nucleotide ribosomal RNA is filed under the name uncultured bacterium. Its description in RNAcentral is "partial 16S ribosomal RNA". It matches the Rfam family "Bacterial small subunit ribosomal RNA", at positions 28 to 507 of the family's 1533-position model. The record is from RNAcentral.